CAGUUAUUACUGUCCUUUUAGAAAUUUUUCUAGCAGGAUUUCUGACUUUGGUCAGAAAACCCAA
Rattus norvegicus (Norway rat) is the source of this 64-nucleotide small nuclear RNA. Ensembl annotates it as U7 small nuclear RNA. The record is from Ensembl. NCBI's taxonomy places the organism in Eukaryota, Metazoa, Chordata, Mammalia, Rodentia, Muridae.